UGGGGAAUUUUGGACAAUGGGCGCAAGUCUGAUCCAGCCAUGCCGCGUGGAUGAUGAAGGCCUUAGGGUUGUAAAAUCCUUUCGCCGAGGACGAUAAUGACGGUACUCGGAGAAGAAGCUCCGGCUAACUUCGUGCCAGCAGCCGCGGUAAUACGAAGGGGGCUAGCGUUGUUCGGAUUUACUGGGCGUAAAGCGCGUGUAGGCGGGUCGUUAAGUUGGGGGUGAAAUCCCGAGGCUCAACCUCGGAACUGCCUUCAAAACUGGCGACCUGGACCUAAGUAGAGGCAAGUGGAAUUGCGAGUGUAGAGGUGAAAUUCGUAGAUAUUGGGAAGAGCACCAGUGGCGAAGGCGGCUAACUGGUCCGGUACUGACGCUGAGGUGCGAAAGCGUGGGGAGCAAACAGGAUUAGAUACCCUUGUAGUCCCUGAGCGGGCUGGCAAGGCGCAU
RNAcentral lists this ribosomal RNA (447 nucleotides) under uncultured bacterium. RNAcentral's name for it is "bacterial SSU rRNA". It matches the Rfam family "Bacterial small subunit ribosomal RNA", at positions 355 to 825 of the family's 1533-position model. The record is from RNAcentral.